AGGAAGUACAAGUCGUAACAAGGUAUCCGUAGGUGAACCUGCGGAUGGAUCAUUAACAAAGAGAUUCAUCUCAACGUACUGUGAACUGUAUUGACUAACGUCGGGGUGGCCCAUUAAAAUAGUUAUUUAUUUUUCUUGGCCGUCCCGACUUUUUAAACGUAACCAAUGUCUGAAGUCUUUAUUUCUAAUUGAAAUUGAGUACAACUUUUAGCAACGGAUCUCUUGGCUCUC
RNAcentral lists this unclassified non-coding RNA (231 nucleotides) under fungal sp. RNAcentral describes it as "partial internal transcribed spacer region". The stretch from base 1 to 55 matches the Rfam family "Eukaryotic small subunit ribosomal RNA", at positions 1777 to 1831 of the family's 1831-position model. The record is from RNAcentral. Lineage: Eukaryota; Fungi.